GCCUAGGUGGCGGAAUGGUAUACGCGUCGGCUUCAGGUGCCGAUGACUUUACGGUCAUGGAGGUUCGAGUCCUCUCCUAGGCACCA
This 86-nucleotide transfer RNA is filed under the name Candidatus Fokinia solitaria. RNAcentral's name for it is "tRNA-Ser". It matches the Rfam family "tRNA". From Rfam's summary of the family: Transfer RNA (tRNA) molecules are approximately 80 nucleotides in length. The record is from RNAcentral. Lineage: Bacteria; Pseudomonadati; Pseudomonadota; Alphaproteobacteria; Rickettsiales; Candidatus Midichloriaceae.